Molecule: ribosomal RNA, 253 nt
Filed under: uncultured bacterium
Lineage: Bacteria
Description: partial 16S ribosomal RNA
Rfam family: Bacterial small subunit ribosomal RNA
Source: RNAcentral
UACGUAGGGUGCAAGCGUUGUCCGGAAUUAUUGGGCGUAAAGAGCUCGUAGGCGGUUUGUCGCGUCUGCUGUGAAAACCCGAGGCUCAACCUCGGGCCUGCAGUGGGUACGGGCAGACUAGAGUGCGGUAGGGGAGAUUGGAAUUCCUGGUGUAGCGGUGGAAUGCGCAGAUAUCAGGAAGAACACCAAUAGCGAAGGCAGCUCGCUGGGACGGUAUUGACGCUAAGGCGCGAAAGCGUGGGGAGCAAACAGG